Molecule: ribosomal RNA, 427 nt
Filed under: uncultured beta proteobacterium
Lineage: Bacteria; Pseudomonadati; Pseudomonadota; Betaproteobacteria
Description: bacterial SSU rRNA
Rfam family: Bacterial small subunit ribosomal RNA
Source: RNAcentral
UGGGGAAUUUUGGACAAUGGGCGAAAGCCUGAUCCAGCCAUGCCGCGUGAGUGAAGAAGGCCUUCGGGUUGUAAAGCUCUUUUAGUCGGAAAGAAAGAGUCGCAAUGAAUAAUUGUGAUUUAUGACGGUACCGACAGAAAAAGCACCGGCUAACUACGUGCCAGCAGCCGCGGUAAUACGUAGGGUGCGAGCGUUAAUCGGAAUUACUGGGCGUAAAGGGUGCGCAGGCGGUUUUGCAAGUCAGAUGUGAAAGCCCCGGGCUUAACCUGGGAAUUGCGUUUGAAACUACAAGGCUAGAGUGCAGCAGAGGGGAGUGGAAUUCCAUGUGUAGCAGUGAAAUGCGUAGAGAUGUGGAAGAACACCGAUGGCGAAGGCAGCUCCCUGGGUUGGCACUGACGCUCAUGCACGAAAGCGUGGGGAGCAAACA